CACGUAGUUAGCCGGUGCUUCUUCUCAACCUACCGUCACCAAAAGGCUUCGUCGGUUGCGAAAGGAGUUUACAACCCGAAGGCCGUCAUCCCCCACGCGGCGUCGCUGCAUCAGGCUUGCGCCCAUUGUGCAAUAUUCCCCACUGCUGCCUCCCGUAGGAGUCUGGGCCGUAUCUCAGUCCCAAUGUGGCCGUACACCCUCUCAGGCCGGCUACCCGUCGACGCCUUGGUAGGCCAUUACCCCACCAACAAGCUGAUAGGCCGCGAGCUCAUCCCAUACCGCAAAAGCUUUCCACCACCCCAUCCAAGAAGUGGUCAUAUUCGGUAUUAGACCCAGUUUCCCAGGCUUAUCCCAAAGUACAGGGCAGAUCACCCACGUGUUACUCACCCGUUCGCCACUCGAGUACCCUGCAAGCAGGGCCUUUCCGUCGACUUGCAUGUGUUAAGCACGCCGCCAGCGUUCAUCCUGAGCCAGGAUCAAACUCU
This 485-nucleotide ribosomal RNA is filed under the name uncultured Corynebacterium sp. RNAcentral's name for it is "partial 16S ribosomal RNA". The record is from RNAcentral. Lineage: Bacteria; Bacillati; Actinomycetota; Actinomycetes; Mycobacteriales; Corynebacteriaceae.